AACGGUCUAUACCUGCGGUACCUGCGGAGGGAUCAUUAAAGAGUUGAAAAACUCACCCAAAACCACCGUGAACAUACCUUAUAAUCGUUGCCUCGGCAGGCGGCCCCAGGGCGGGGCCUUGGCCUGGAAUAAUGGUGCCUGCCGGGGGUUUUUUAAACUUCUGUUAUUUUUGUCAGCUUCUGAAUCGGGAAAAACAAACCCAGUCAAAACUUUCAGCAACGGAUCUCUAGAUCGGAAGAG
This 240-nucleotide unclassified non-coding RNA is filed under the name soil metagenome. Its description in RNAcentral is "partial contains 5.8S ribosomal RNA, internal transcribed spacer 2, and large subunit ribosomal RNA". The record is from RNAcentral.